This 497-nucleotide ribosomal RNA is filed under the name uncultured bacterium. Its description in RNAcentral is "partial 16S ribosomal RNA". It matches the Rfam family "Bacterial small subunit ribosomal RNA", at positions 28 to 507 of the family's 1533-position model. The record is from RNAcentral.
GAUGAAUGCUGGCGGCGUGCCUAAUACAUGCAAGUCGAGCGAACAGACGAGGAGCUUGCUCCUCUGACGUUAGCGGCGGACGGGUGAGUAACACGUGGAUAACCUACCUAUAAGACUGGGAUAACUUCGGGAAACCGGAGCUAAUACCGGAUAAUAUAUUGAACCGCAUGGUUCAAUAGUGAAAGACGGUUUUGCUGUCACUUAUAGAUGGAUCCGCGCCGCAUUAGCUAGUUGGUAAGGUAACGGCUUACCAAGGCAACGAUGCGUAGCCGACCUGAGAGGGUGAUCGGCCACACUGGAACUGAGACACGGUCCAGACUCCUAAGGGAGGCAGCAGUAGGGAAUCUUCCGCAAUGGGCGAAAGCCUGACGGAGCAACGCCGCGUGAGUGAUGAAGGUCUUCGGAUCGUAAAACUCUGUUAUUAGGGAAGAACAAAUGUGUAAGUAACUAUGCACGUCUUGACGGUACCUAAUCAGAAAGCCACGGCUAACUACGUG